AGUGAACGCUGGCGGUAGGCCUAACACAUGCAAGUCGAACGGCAGCACAGUAAGAGCUUGCUCUUACGGGUGGCGAGUGGCGGACGGGUGAAGAAUACAUCGGAAUCUACUUUUUCGUGGGGGAUAACGUAGGGAAACUUACGCUAAUACCGCAUACGACCUACGGGUGAAAGCAGGGGAUCUUCGGACCUUGCGCGAUUGAAUGAGCCGAUGUCGGAUUAGCUAGUUGGCGGGGUAAAGGCCCACCAAGGCGACGAUCCGUAGCUGGUCUGAGAGGAUGAUCAGCCACACGGGAACUUAGAAACGGUCCAGACUCCUACGGGAGGCAGCAGUGGGGAAUAUUGGACAAUGGGCGCAAGCCUGAUCCAGGCAUACCGCGUGGGUGAAGAAGGCCUUCGGGUUGUAAAGCCCUUUUGUUGGGAAAGAAAAGCAGCAGGUUAAUACCCCGCUGUUCUGACGGUACCCAAAGAAUAAGCACCGGCUAACUUCGUG
Molecule: ribosomal RNA, 492 nt
Filed under: uncultured bacterium
Lineage: Bacteria
Description: partial 16S ribosomal RNA
Rfam family: Bacterial small subunit ribosomal RNA
Source: RNAcentral